Molecule: long non-coding RNA, 4224 nt
Filed under: Callithrix jacchus (white-tufted-ear marmoset)
Lineage: Eukaryota; Metazoa; Chordata; Mammalia; Primates; Cebidae
Description: lncRNA (ENSCJAG00000085704.1)
Source: RNAcentral
AUGCAGGCUCAGACAGCUCAUGGAGGAGCAGAGAUAUAUCCAGGGGUGAUCAGAGUGAAAGGGGGGCAACCCUUCGGAUUUAGAGGAGAAAAGAAUCAACUCAGACAUGAACAGAAGAGAGGGACAGAUGUAUAUGGUGUUGAAGACAGAAUUGUAUGGAUCUGCAUUCUGAUGUAUUCUCUGCAAAUGCCACAAGGAAGAUGGUCAUGCAGGAGUUCCCUGUAUUUUUUCAGUUCAGGAGCCAGGAAGUCCAAGAUCAAGGCAUCAGCAGAUCUGAUGUCUGGUAAGGGCUGGUUUUCUUCUUCAAAGAUGGCACCUUGUUGCUGCAUCUUCACGUGGUGGAAGGAGUCAAAGAUUUCUUGAGCUUCUUUGGUAACAGCACUAAUUUCAUUCAUGAAGGAAGAGCCCUCAUGGUCUAGUCACCUCCUAAAGGGCCCUCGUCUCAGUUCCUCACAAUGGGGAUGAGGUUUAAUAUGCAUUUUAAAGGGUCACAGACAUUCCGAUCAUAGCAAGAUUGAUUUGCGUUGUUUCAUACAUCAGUACCCUAUUCCAUUUUCUUGCUGAGUAGUAUUUCACAGUGUGGAUAUGCCACAUAUUUUGUUUCUUUACUCAUUUGUUUGUAGAUAUGUAGAUUUUUUUUCAAGGUUGUAUCUGUUAUGAAUAAAACUGCUGUAAGCAUUCAUAUGCACGUCUUUUUGUUGAUGUGCUAUUUCCUUUUGGUAAAAACUUAUGAAUAUUCAUAAGUGUAUGUUUAACACUCAAAUAAAGCUGCACAUUUUUUCUAUGUAGUUUUACUAUUUUACAUUCCCAUCAACAAUAUAUGAAAAUUCUAGUUACUCUACUUCCUCUCCAACAAUUUAUAUUGACAACCUUUAAAAUUUUAGCCAUUAUAGUGAAUGUAUUGUGGAAUCAUUAUAGUUUUAAUUUGCAUUUCCCUGAGCAUCUUUUCAUGUGGCCACUAAUAGAUUUAACAAACCAUCUUGACAUUCUUAGGAUAUGCUCUCCUUGGUUGUGAUGAAUUUAAUAUGACCAACUUCUGAGAGUGUCACCCCAGAUACUCUCAGAAGUUGGUCACAAUAAAUUCAUCACAAACAUUCCGUUCAUACCAAAAGGUAUAUAAUAUGGAAUAAUUAUACACAUAUAUCAUAGCAAACAUAUAAAAUAUAGGUAUUGAUUUGAAACUAUGUAUUAUUCUGUAUUAUUUACUUUUCUAUUACAUACAUGUAAGAGAUGUAGAUAUAAAUACAUGUAUAUUAUUUAAAAACAAUAGGACUAGUUAAUGGUUGAAAUUAGUAAUUAAUGAUAGGACUAAUUAAACAAAUGAUAUAUACAACAAAAAUAUAAUAUUUUUUAAUGUUUCUGUUAGAGAUUUUAACUCUUUGGAUAUUCUACUUUUGUAAGUUGUGUUAUUGUAUAUUCUUAAGCUAAGUAAAUAAAAUACCUUUAAAAAUUGAAUGUAAAUAAAAUGGGAUUAGCUAACCAAACAUGUAAAAUGUAAUAAGAUUAACAAUGACAUGUUUCUUUCUGUUCCAUGAUAUACCAGUACGAUGUUUUUGAUAUUUCUGUUUUCUUUUCAAUAUUUCUCUGAAAUACCAGCUGCUUUCCAGAUACUCUUCUCUUCUUUUAUGUAGUGGUAGAACUCAAUAAACCAAAAUAUAAAAUUUAUUUUUACUUGCAUCUCUGCUCCUUUAAGCCCACAUUAUGCUGUUUGCUAGUGGCAGUUAAAUGAAACAACAUCAAGCUAAAUAUUCUCUCAAUAAAAGUGUUUUAGCAUGGAAUUCUUAGAAUUUUACUCUAAAAACAUCCAUUUCGUAUCUACAGGUGUAUUUUGGUAGCUGUUUGUCAAUCAAGUUCCUUUCACCUGUAAAUCCAUCAGGUAGGCUCUCCAUGUCUAAAAUUUCCAUCAUGUUUAGACACUCCAAAACACAUUGGAUAUCAUAAUCAUAAGUUAAGCCUCUUUUUGUUGGGGAAAAUGGUUACGAAGCAUAGAAGUAAUUUGAACGUGUGAAAUUGAAGUUGGACUUACUGUAAGUUACCAUUUUCGUACAGAAAUAAGAAAGCCCUGUUUAAUGUGGUUUCCCUUUUCUAGUGACUUUGUUUUUUUACUUCUGAAACAGUGUUAUUUUAAAAAAAUGACCUUUUUUUUUUGCAUUGUAUGUGUUUUUGUUGCAACCUCCACAUAACAUUCAACAUCUCAAAUGCAGUCAGUACAUGCUUUCCUAGGUUCCUUAUGGUCUCUUCAAAGACCACCAAACAGUUUUGGAGAAACAGUGUAUACAUUUCUGUUUUCAUACUUUUCUCCAUUCUCAUCCUCAAUGCAUUGGCAAAUUAGAGAAGGACACUCUUUUUGUCCUACACUUUACAAAUAUGAUUUUAGGGCAUGCCAACAUUUUAACAUCUAUGGCAGGCAAAAAUUAUAGUCAUCUUGUAGGCACAUAUCUAGAGAGGCUGUCUCCUUCCAUUUCUCUAAAGUAAAAAAAAAUCUUAUUAAGCGUUUCUGUACAUUUUGAGGAAAUUGAAAAGUGACCAACAACUUUCAUUAUGAAAAGGAAGCAAAUCACAAUCCUUUGAAGCAGUGUUGCUUACAAGGUAUGCCAAACAUUCAGCAAGACCUUUGAUUUUCUUUGGUAGGAAGUUUAUAAGUUGAAUGGAAUUUGCAUAUAUAUAUGCAAAUACAGAUAUGCAAAUAUAUAUAUACUGUCCGCUGAAUAUACAAGAUGAGUAUCUUGAUCCAUUUUCUGUUGCAUGUAACAGAAUACAUAUAAGUGGUAAUUUAUUACCCACUUGUAUGUAUUCUGUUACAUGCAACAGAAAACAGAUCAAAAAUAAAUUUUAUUUCUUAUCAUUUUGGAGGCUGUGAAGUCCAAGGUCAAUGGGGUGCAUCUGGUGAAGACAUUCUUCCUGGUGGGGACUCUGUAGAGUCCUGAGGUGGUACAAGCCAUCACAUAAUGAGGGGGCAAGGUGGGCUAACAUGCUAGUUUAAGUCCCUCUUCCUCUUCUUAAAAAGCCAUGAGUUCUCCUUCCAUGGUAACGCAUCAGGCCGUGAACUCAUUCAUCCAUUAGUCCACUCAUGUGAGUAAAGCUCUUAUGAUCCAAUCACUGCUUAAAGACCCCACUUGUUAAUACUGUCAUGUGAGUAAAUUUCAAUGUGAGUUUUGGAGGGGACAGAUAUUCAAACCAUAUGAAUGAGCAAAGUUUACUUUGUAUUUAGACAGGACUCAACAAUAUUUUAUUUAGUAUACUUUGUAGUUUCAUUAAAAUCUUUAUAGAAAUCAAGAUGGGCCAGGCAUGGUGGCUCAUGCCUGUAAUCCCAGCACUUUGGGAGGCCAAGCAGGUGGAUCAUUUGAGGUCAGGAGUUUGAGACCAUCUUGGCCAACAUGGUGAAAUGCUGCCUCUACUAAAAAUACAAAAAUUAGUUGGGUGUGAUGGCACACAUCUGUAAUCCCAGCUGCUUGGGAGGCUAAGGAAAGAGAAUCACUUGAACCUGAUAGGUGGAGGUAGCCCUGAGCCAAGAUGUUACCACUGCACUCCAGCCUGGGUGACAGAGCAAGACUCCAUCUCAAAAGAAAAAAAUAGAAAGAAAAAGAAAAGAAAAAAAAAGAAAUCAAGACUUGAAGCUCCAUUUUUCAAAUCCAAGUACCUAACAGCCAGGGGUAACAUUUUGUUGUUCUUGUUGCUGUGAUGUCUUAUGUGAUAUACUAUAGAAAGAAGAAUCCUUGGUAAGAAUCAGACUUGCACUGUCAGAGGCAACACAUCUGUUUUCCAAAUUUCCUUUUUGUUUGCCCAAUAGGACAUUUUAGUUACAACUUCUGAAUCAGGAAAUUCACUCACUCAGUUUUAUAUAGAGGAAUUGAAGGUAAGAUAACGUAUGCUGAUUCAUGUAGUAUGCUGAAGCUAAUUCAUUGGCCACUUUACAAUAUUCAUAAUUCUGAAAAAUAUGUAAAUGAAGAACAUCACUGCGUGUUUGUAGCUGGCUACCUUGCCUUGAUAACCAUUUUGGAUUCAUAUCCCUGGCAUUUGGUUUGUGUGAACCGAGCUCCAGAGGAAUCAGCCAGGGAUUACUCUCUUCCCAGAUCACCACAUGCCAUCAGCUAUCCCAAAGAGUUUUAAAAGUGUUAGAACAAUUAAAUUGUUUGAGUGCAUUCGCUACUUAGGUUUUCUAACAAAUGAUGUUCUAAUGUAAUAAUUCAGUUUUGUUCUGUUUUCAUCUUUUUUUAGCCUACU